RNAcentral lists this transfer RNA (72 nucleotides) under Cronartium ribicola 11-2. Its description in RNAcentral is "tRNA-Sup (CTA) (tRNA-Sup-CTA-10-1)". It matches the Rfam family "tRNA". From Rfam's summary of the family: Transfer RNA (tRNA) molecules are approximately 80 nucleotides in length. The record is from RNAcentral. Lineage: Eukaryota; Fungi; Basidiomycota; Pucciniomycetes; Pucciniales; Coleosporiaceae.
GUGUCUGUAGCCUAGUGGUAAAAGGCAGCACUCUAGAUGCUGAGGAUGUGGGUUCAAAUCCCACCAGACACA